UGUGUGUGUGUGUGUGUGUGGGUAUGGUGAAGAAGUACACACACUGAGAGAAAAAACUGACCAAAGUGAACCAGAACGGUAUUCUGUAAGAGAAGCGGAGAGUUUUUUCUUGGGAAGGCAUUAUAUCAAACUGUUGAAACAGUCUAGAACUUCAGAGUUUGAUUGUGAAUUAUAAGCAACCCAAUGGUUUCUUUUUUAUUCUAAUCUUAUUUACAGUGUUAGAUUUCUGAGGCAAGUAUUCUAAAUUCUGUCUCAAGUAGUCUCACUCAUUUCAUUCAGUGUUUAGUAGAUGUAUAUUGAGCUUCUAUUAACUGAAAUAUAAGGAGGAAAAGAGAUAAGUAAGCUGUCAAUUAUAAUAGAGUACUGCAAAUUGAUAAAGAUUUAUGGCUUCCUUCUAACCAUAUUAAUUGAAGUUUUCUGACAUUUCACAAGGUUUGGAAAUGGACCAGAUGGCAUAAAGAUGCAAGUUUGUACCCUGAUUUUAAGCAUAUUAAUGGUAGAAAUAUAAAAAUACUGGUUUCUGUGCCUACUAUUAAUGGUAAGAUAAACCACUGUCAGAUUUCUCUUUACAUUCUGAAGCCUGGGCACAAGAAUUUUCUGUUUUUAAGUAUGUGUCAUUUCAUCAGUUGUCUUUGAAGCAGUAGCAGUAAGGUCUAUAUUUCACGAACCUGUGAAAAUGUUUUCAACACCAGGUUAGUGUGUUACACCAAAUGAACUGUUUUUACCCUUUGUUGAGAAAUAGAGGGACAGUAAGCAUCUUGGCUGCUUCUGGUUAUUGCCUGAGUUCUGCAGAACUUUGGUUUUUAAGUCUUCUACAAUGCCAUUGCUGAUUGCAACCCUCUUUUCUCCUCAGAGAAGAGCUGUGGCUCAGAGAUCUGCACACUCUGCUGUUGAGUGGCUUGAAGAAGGAAGGAAACUGUUAAAGAUCGAAAUCCGUAGUCCACAUCAGCAGAUAUUUCUGUGACCCGUCAGUUCCUUUGGGAAGAGUGCCAGUUAGAUCCUCAUAAACCCCAUCUACUGCUGAUGAACACUCUUUAGCAAUUAUCAAUCUCGUGACCAAGGAGAUCCAGCCUCCAGGUUGUUCACAGGCAGCAGCAGUAGAAACUGCUGGUGAGAGACAGUGAGGAACAGAAAGAAGUCGCACCAAGAAAAAGAUCAGGUGGAUCCCAUUGAAAAUUCAUACUGCAUAUCUGAAAUUAAAAU
This 1203-nucleotide long non-coding RNA is filed under the name Oryctolagus cuniculus (rabbit). RNAcentral describes it as "lncRNA (ENSOCUG00000039164.1)". Lineage: Eukaryota; Metazoa; Chordata; Mammalia; Lagomorpha; Leporidae. The record is from RNAcentral.